Molecule: ribosomal RNA, 497 nt
Filed under: uncultured bacterium
Lineage: Bacteria
Description: partial 16S ribosomal RNA
Rfam family: Bacterial small subunit ribosomal RNA
Source: RNAcentral
GAUGAACGCUGGCGGCGUGCCUAAUACAUGCAAGUCGAACGCUGAAGGAAGGAGCUUGCUCUUUCCGGGUGAGUUGCGAACGGGUGAGUAACGCGUAGGUAACCUGCCUGGUAGCGGGGGAUAACUAUUGGAAACGAUAGCUAAUACCGCAUAACAGUAGAUGUUGCAUGAUAUCUACUUAAAAGGUGCAAUUGCACCACUACCAGAUGGACCUGCGUUGUAUUAGCUAGUUGGUGAGGUAACGGCUCACCAAGGCGACGAUACAUAGCCGAACUGAGAGGGUGGGCGGCCACACUGAGACGGAGACACGGCCCAGACGCCUACGGGAGGGAGCAGGAGGGAAACUGGAGCAAUGGACGGAAGUCUGACCGAGAAACGCCGAGGGAGGGAAGAAGGUCUUCGGAUCGUAAAGGUCUGUUGUAAGAGAAGAACGAGUGUGAGAGUGGAAAGUUCACACUGUGACGGUAACUGACCAGAAAGGGACGGCUAACUACGUG